Molecule: ribosomal RNA, 253 nt
Filed under: uncultured bacterium
Lineage: Bacteria
Description: partial 16S ribosomal RNA
Rfam family: Bacterial small subunit ribosomal RNA
Source: RNAcentral
GACGAACCGUGCGAACGUUGUUCGGAGUCAUUGGGCUUAAAGGGCGCGUAGGCGGGCUAUCAAGUCCGGGGUGAAAUACUCCAGCUCAACUGGAGAACGGCCUCGGAUACUGAUGGUCUCGAGGAAGAUAGGGGCGUGCGGAACUGGGGGUGGAGCGGUGAAAUGCGUUGAUAUCCCUAGGAACUCCGGUGGCGAAGGCGGCACGCUGGAUCUUUUCUGACGCUGAGGCGCGAAAGCUAGGGUAGCGAACGGG